RNAcentral lists this transfer RNA (66 nucleotides) under Tenebrionoidea sp. 21 KM-2017. Its description in RNAcentral is "tRNA-Phe". The record is from RNAcentral. Lineage: Eukaryota; Metazoa; Arthropoda; Insecta; Coleoptera.
AUUUAAAUAGCUUAUAAAUAGAGCAUGAUAUUGAAGAUAUCAAGGAAAUAUUAUUAUUUUUAAAUA